This 468-nucleotide ribosomal RNA is filed under the name uncultured bacterium. RNAcentral's name for it is "partial 16S ribosomal RNA". It matches the Rfam family "Bacterial small subunit ribosomal RNA", at positions 28 to 507 of the family's 1533-position model. The record is from RNAcentral.
GACGAACGCUGGCGGCGUGCUUAACACAUGCAAGUCGAACGGAAAGGCCCUGCUUUUGUGGGGUGCUCGAGUGGCGAACGGGUGAGUAACACGUGAGUAACCUGCCCUUGACUUUGGGAUAACUUCAGGAAACUGGGGCUAAUACCGGAUAGGAGCUCCUGCUGCAUGGUGGGGGUUGGAAAGUUUCGGCGGUUGGGGAUGGACUCGCGGCUUAUCAGCUUGUUGGUGGGGUAGUGGCUUACCAAGGCUUUGACGGGUAGCCGGCCUGGGAGGGUGACCGGCCACAUUGGGACUGAGGUACGGGCCAGACUCCUACGGGAAGCAGGAGUGGGGAAUAUUGCACAAUGGGCGGGAGCCUGAUGCAACAACGCCGCGUGCGGGAUGACGGCCUUCGGGUUGGAAACCGCUUUCGCCUGUGACGGAGCGUGAGUGACGGUAAUGGGUAAAGAAGCACCGGCUAACUACGUG